This 253-nucleotide ribosomal RNA is filed under the name uncultured bacterium. Its description in RNAcentral is "partial 16S ribosomal RNA". It matches the Rfam family "Bacterial small subunit ribosomal RNA", at positions 524 to 776 of the family's 1533-position model. The record is from RNAcentral.
UACAGAGGUCUCAAGCGUUGUUCGGGUUCAUUGGGCGUAAAGGGUGCGUAGGUGGCGCGCUAAGUCGGGUGUGAAAUCUCGGAGCUUAACUCCGAAAUUGCAUUCGAUACUGGCGUGCUUGAGGACUGGAGAGGAGACUGGAAUUCAUGGUGUAGCAGUGAAAUGCGUAGAGAUCAUGAGGAAGACCAGUGGCGAAGGCAGGUCUCUGGACAGCUCCUGACACUGAGGCACGAAGGCCAGGGGAGCAAACGGG